Molecule: small nucleolar RNA, 137 nt
Organism: Camelus ferus (Wild Bactrian camel)
Lineage: Eukaryota; Metazoa; Chordata; Mammalia; Artiodactyla; Camelidae
Source: Rfam
UUGGCCCUGAAUCAAGGCCAGCAGCUUGCUGGAGCUGUUGGUUUCAAGCAGGAGCCUAAAGAAAAGUCUUUUUAUGGUCUGUUGGCCAUUUCAGAACUUUGGAAAUGUAAUGGUCAAUUCAUUAGAAAGAAACAUUU